Molecule: long non-coding RNA, 1257 nt
Filed under: Gossypium barbadense (sea-island cotton)
Lineage: Eukaryota; Viridiplantae; Streptophyta; Magnoliopsida; Malvales; Malvaceae
Description: long non-coding RNA (GBAR_LNC011127)
Source: RNAcentral
CCAACUUUUCCUUUUUUAUUCCAUUACCAACUUUCCCCUUUUUUAUUUUUUAUUUUAUUAUUCCAUUACCAGCCUUCCCCCAACUUUAAACAAAAAGAACAGAGAGCUUUCCUGCUCUCUCCCCAUUUCCUUUCUCUUUUAUUUUCUGCUAGGGUUUCAAAGAAACCCAUCAUUGCCGCCCUUCAACCGCCGCGCCACCUCUGCACUCGGUGGUCGGCGAUACACCAAAAUGGGCUCCUUUAGCUCUCCCAUUUUUUACUUGUUGGAGGCUAGUUCCAAAAACGAAAAGACAAGGGUUCAACCCCCUUUUUAGACUCAACCACGCCGAACGGAGGGGAAGGUUCCGAUAACACGGCGACGGGACCGGAUCUGGUGAGAAUCCUUCCUCUUUCCUUUUAUUUUUUCUUUUUUGUAUCUUUGUUUAAUAGAUUUGUAUAAAAAAUAAAAGAAAUAUUAAAGAAGCAAGAAAACGAAAAAUGAAAAUAAAGAGAACAAAAUCGGAGAUCAACCUUCUGUGUGUUUUUUGUUUGAUUCCUUGAAAAAUACGCGAGUGAUACAAUUUUUGGAUCCCCUUUUUUACUAUGAAAAAUUGAAGGCUUUAUAGCCAAAAACCAUACAUUUUCUACCUAUUUCUUUGCUCCAAUUGCAGGUGUUGAAGUUGUGGAGAACGCGGGCCGUGAAACAUGGGCGAAAACAUGGAGCGGGGUAUACGGGGAUCCUGUUUGGAGUGCUGACGUGGGGGUUGAGUUUGUAGUCUGCUGAAAAUUUUUGAGAUUGUGGGCUGGUAGGGUUAGUUUAAGUUGUGGGCUGAUGGGGGUUUUAAUUUGGGCCAUGUAUUAUUAAUUGGACUAUUUUAUUAUUAUUUUUUUGGAUUUUUUUUAUUUCGGCUCGGGCUAAGGUUGAAAUUAGGUUUGGUUUUAUUGUGCCCCGGUCAAAAUUUGGGCCUUACAAGCUUCAUCAACAUAACAAAGACUUUUAGCCUCAACAUCAAUAGAAUAUAUGGCAUGUUGACAAUUGCCUCUAUCACAACUCAAGUAUAAUAAAUUUGGAGCAAUUGCAAACAGUUAAUAUGAUAAGGAAAUCAAUACCAAGUGGUCCAAAAUGGUGGCAAAAAAUAGGCAAAAAAGCCGAAAUCCACCAAACUAGAAAGGACAACGACAAAACAAUUCUUAAAAUUACUUGCAAAAACAAGACUACAUACAUAAGCAAGAUUAAAAAGCAUGCUACAAGAGUGACAAAAAAUUUAUAAAAAGGGAG